RNAcentral lists this ribosomal RNA (474 nucleotides) under uncultured bacterium. Its description in RNAcentral is "partial 16S ribosomal RNA". It matches the Rfam family "Bacterial small subunit ribosomal RNA", at positions 28 to 507 of the family's 1533-position model. The record is from RNAcentral.
GAUGAACGCUAGCGGCAGGCCUAACACAUGCAAGUCGAGGGAGGAGCUUUCGGGCUUCGACCGGCGUACGGGUGCGUAACGCGUAUACAAUCUGCCUUUCACAUAGGGAUAGCCCGAAGAAAUUUGGAUUAAUACCUAAUGGUAUAUAGGAGUGGCAUCACAUUUAUAUUAAAGCUGAGGCGGUGAAAGAUGAGUAUGCGUUCUAUUAGCUAGUUGGAGAGGUAACGGCUCCCCAAGGCGACGAUAGAUAGGGGUUCUGAGAGGGAUAUCCCCCACACUGGUACUGGGAUACGGACCAGACUCCUACGGGAGGGAGCAGUGCGGAAUAGUAGACAAUGGUCGGAAGACUGAUCCAGCCAUGCCGCGUGCAGGAAGACGGCGUUAUGGGUUGUAAACUGCUUUUGCAGGGGAAGAAUAAGGACUACGAGUAGUUUGAUGACGGUACUCUGCGAAUAAGCAUCGGCUAACUCCGUG